GAAAAUGGCGGAUGAGGCCGGGCGCGGUGGCUCACGCCUGUGGUCCCAGCACUUUGGGAGGCCGAGGCGGGCGGAUCACAAGGUCAGGAAAUCGAGACCAUCCUGGCGAACACUGUGAAACCCCGUCUCUUCUAAAAAUACAAAAAAAAAUUAGCCAGGCGUGGUGGCGGGCGCUUGUAGUCCCAGCUACUCAGGAUGCUGAGGCAGGAGAAUGGCGUGAACCCGGGAGGCGCAGCUUGCAGCGAGCCAAGAUGGCGCCGCUGCACUCCAGCCUGGGCAGCAGAGCGAGACUCCAUCUCAAAAAAAAAAAAAAAAAAAAAGAAAAGAAAAGAAACUGGCGGACAAAGGAAGAGAUCCUCCUUCAGGCAGGGUAGGGAAGAAGGGCACUCGGUGACCAGAGACCUUUUCCAGGACCAUGUCUUUGAAGCAAAUCUCAGCUCUUGUCUUCCGGAAGCGAUGGAGACAGAAUCCAGAAGCCUGAGACUCUCUCCUUUCCUGGCUUUGAUGAAGCAAGCUGCCACACUGGAGAGGCCUACAUGAUAAGGACCUGAAGGUGGCCUCCAGCUAGCUCCAGCCAACAGUUGGCAAGGAAUUGAGGACCUGAGUCCAAUAGACCUUGAGGAACUGAAUCCUGCAACAGCUACACAAGUGAGCAUGGCAGUGUAUCCUUCCCCAGUAAAGCCUUCAGAUGAGACCCCAGCCCCAGCUGACACCUUGAUUGAAGCCUUGUGAGAGACCCUGAAGCAGAGAAACCAGCUAGGCCUUGCCUGGAUUCCUGAUCCACAAACUGCUUUUGUGAUGCCCUAUAAUUACAUGAACUCUACUAAAAAGAGGGAUACUGGAAAGAAGAAUAAUGUUGAGACACCUUUGCAGAAGAAAAAACAACUUCCUCUCUUCCUCUACUUCACUCUGGCAAGUUCUCCAACCUGACAAGCCAGUAGGGAGUGCCGGAAUGUCAUGGCUGAGAAAAGAGAUGUUAACAGGCUGUAUGAUGUUGGCCACAGAGUGCCCCCCUAAAGAGGCCUCAGAAGAAUGAAGGCUGAAAGAGGAUUUCUUCUGUGAGAGCCACACUUGAUGUGCUCAGUUAGAAGUCCUCAUCCAGGGCACAGACUCAGAGGUCGACAGUCACAUCUGUGCUCCCUCACAGGGCAAGCAUCCCAGAGACAGAGCUCUGGCUCCAGCCUCUGCUCAGAGACUCUCAGCGUUACUCCCCUGGUCAGCCCAACAAGAAGGAAGGCUUUGUUGAAUGACGGGUGACAUGGGAAUCUGACUCAUGAUCAAAUUUCAGCAGAGACUAUUCUCCUUCAGAGAGCCCAGACUCUCUAAAUAAUCCCACCUGGGACCACAGAAUUACUGUUUGGGAUUUUAUCCUGGAACUCUCCACCACAGCCGGAUAGGUAGUCUAUGAGCUACAGAUGGAAACCUUUGUCCUCCUGAACCCCUACAUCUGCCCAACCUGUUCCACAGAAGAGUGAAGUUCUAUCCUCUCUUCAGACUUCCCAUCUAAGACAUGUCUCUGUACUAACCAAACUUAUUUAGAAAUGUGGGAAUAGGAUUCGGAAACAAAAACAGGGCAUCUCUCUUGGGUGUUCACCCACAGUUCCUUACCUUUUGGGUGUCAUUAUUUUUUUCGGUGGGUGAUGAAUACAGGGUCAAUACCAUGUAGAACAAGUACAGUAUAAACAACCCCAACCCACUCAA
This 1701-nucleotide long non-coding RNA is filed under the name Homo sapiens (human). RNAcentral describes it as "HSALNT0353062". The record is from RNAcentral. Lineage: Eukaryota; Metazoa; Chordata; Mammalia; Primates; Hominidae.